This 414-nucleotide ribosomal RNA is filed under the name uncultured bacterium. Its description in RNAcentral is "bacterial SSU rRNA". It matches the Rfam family "Bacterial small subunit ribosomal RNA", at positions 8 to 422 of the family's 1533-position model. The record is from RNAcentral.
AGAGUUUGAUCCUGGCUCAGAUUGAACGCUGGCGGAAUGCUUUACACAUGCAAGUCGAACGGCAGCACGGGAGCUUGCUCCUGGUGGCGAGUGGCGAACGGGUGAGUAACAUAUCGGAACAUAUCCUAUCGUGGGGGAUAACUAGUCGAAAGACUAGCUAAUACCGCAUACGUCCUGAGGGAGAAAGCGGGGGCUCGCAAGACCUCGCGCGAUUGGAGUGGCCGAUAUCUGAUUAGCUAGAUGGUGAGGUAAAAGCUCACCAUGGCGACGAUCAGUAGCUGGUCUGAGAGGAUGAUCAGCCACACUGGGACUGAGACACGGCCCAGACUCCUACGGGAGGCAGCAGUGGGGAAUUUUGGACAAUGGGCGAAAGCCUGAUCCAGCCUUUCCGCGUGAGUGAAGAAGGCCUUCGGG